Molecule: long non-coding RNA, 1655 nt
Organism: Phycodurus eques (leafy seadragon)
Lineage: Eukaryota; Metazoa; Chordata; Actinopteri; Syngnathiformes; Syngnathidae
Exons: 4
Source: RefSeq, a predicted model, not a curated record
CGGCUAAUCCUCCCUAGUGUCGCGGGCAGCUGGGAUAGGCUCCACCACAUCUUCGGGCAAGAGGCGGGGGUACACCCUGAAAUAGUCUGCAGCCAAUUGCAGGGCACAUAGAAACAAACAACCAUUCGCACUCACGUUCACACCUACAGGCAAUUUAGAGUUUUCAAUUAACCUACCACGCAUGUUUUUGGGAUGUGGGAGGAAACCGGAGUACCCGGAGAAAACCCAUGCAGGCACGGGGAGAACAUGCAAACUCCGCACAGGCGGGGCCAGGAUUUGAACCCCAGUCCUCAGAACUGUGAGGCAGAUGUGCCAACCAGUCAUUCACCGUGCCGCCUUACAUGCAGGUAUGUAAUGUAAUUUAACUCAUUCCCUGCCAACCUCAUCUAAAGACUUAAUUGGCCUUUUUUAACUGGGAUGGGUGGGGGAGGGUCUUGCGCAGUUUGUGUGAUCAUCAAGCCUCUGGAUAACUGCAAUGAGAAAUGCUACCCUGUAGAGGGCAACAAUGCCUUGAGGUUAAUAUCCCUCCCUCAGAGAAAGAAGAGGAAGAAGAAGGAGGAGGCGGGGUUCAAGAGACAAUGAGAGAAGGCACGCAUAAUGGCGGAAAAGAGAUAUUUGAGUAAAUGGGAUCCGGAUUUGUCAGAUGAGUGAACUGUGUCUGGAUCGCCAGCCGAGCUUCAUCGCGAGAUCCUUCAGAUGCUAAUGGUGACGAAGGAAUUCAACACCCGCGAGUCGGUCUUUUAGGGUUGCGAUGAAGUUAUGCAUUGAGCAGCUGUUCAACUCCCAUUCCAGUACACAGUGCAGACAAAAAAAGUACACAGGUUGUGCUUUGAGCAGAAGUAGGAACUGCUUUCAAGGACAAUGACAACCACAAAAGAUCCCAUGCACUGCCACCAAAGAAUAAAAUCCAGAUGUGGAUAAAACUUUGCUAGAUUUGAUGCGCAAGGCAAUAAAAACCUGGACUAUUAAGCAAACGGUAGAGGAGGAGAAUUUGGAGGAAAAAAGUGGGAGCCCUAUUUGUUCAUGCAUUUUUGUCUAAUGUAAAUUCUGUACAUAGUUAUACUUGUAAAUAAAUUAUUUUUCUGUCAAAAGUACAUUCUCAGUGUUGUUUUAUGUUCAGAAGUUUGAGAUUUUCACAAAAGAAAAAAAAUAUAUUCGUGUCAGUCAUUGUUCUGCUUGAGCUGUCUGCUUUCACACAAAGGCGGUUUUCUCAAUUCUUUCCUCCAGAAACAUAUUUGGCUGAAAGUAGCCUAUAUCUGACUGCUGAUCACUAAGGAACGGUAUAAACUAGAGGCAAACUGUUUUUCUGAUGAAAGAAGAGAGUCUGAUCUUUCUUUUGGUGGUUUUGGUGUUUACGUCGUCAUAGUACACAAUAUUCUGUGGGGCUUGAAAAAUGAGUAUAAUUGCUCGAAAAUGCCUGGCAGUCUGGGCUUUCCUUGCUCAGGAAACGGUUGGCAGUGAAUGAGUUAAGAAUAAAGGAAUGCCUUUUUAUUGUCACUAUACACAAGUGCAAAGAGAUUGAGAUACCGGAACCAAUGUAUCACACAGACAUUUAUUGCAGACAGACGCAGUAUUGGGCCACUGAUAAAGUUUUCCUAAAAAUGACAGAGGAGCGGCUGUUUUUAAAACUUUAGAUGUGUAAUGUACAUAUAACA